RNAcentral lists this ribosomal RNA (492 nucleotides) under uncultured bacterium. Its description in RNAcentral is "partial 16S ribosomal RNA". It matches the Rfam family "Bacterial small subunit ribosomal RNA", at positions 29 to 507 of the family's 1533-position model. The record is from RNAcentral.
AGUGAACGCUGGCGGUAGGCCUAACACAUGCAAGUCGAACGGCAGCACAGUAAGAGCUUGCUCUUACGGGUGGCGAGUGGCGGACGGGUGAGGAAUACAUCGGCAUCUACUUUUUCGUGGGGGAUAACGUAGGGAAACUUACGCUAAUACCGCAUACGACCUACGGGUGAAAGCAGGGGAUCUUCGGACCUUGCGCGAUUGUAUUAGCCGAUGUCGGAUUAGCUAGUUGGCGAGGUAAAGGCCCACCAAGGCAACGAUCCGUAGCUGGUCUGAGAGGAUGAUCAGCCACACUGGAACUGAGACACGGUCCAGACUCCUACGGGAGGCAGCAGUGGGGAAUAUUGGACAAUGGGCGCAAGCCUGAUCCAGCCAUACCGCGUGGGUGAAGAAGGCCUUCGGGUUGUAAAGCCCUGUUGUUGGGAAAGAAAAGCAGCAGGUUAAUACCCCGCUGUUCUGACGGUACCCAAAGAAUAAGCACCGGCUAACUUCGUG